Molecule: long non-coding RNA, 316 nt
Filed under: Musa acuminata (dwarf banana)
Lineage: Eukaryota; Viridiplantae; Streptophyta; Magnoliopsida; Zingiberales; Musaceae
Description: long non-coding RNA (MACU_LNC010467)
Source: RNAcentral
AACAAAGAGAGGAGCGGUGGGGCGUGGGGAGAAGAAGAGAGGAAGAAGAGGGAGAAGAGAAGAAGAAGAAGAAGAGAGGAGGAUAGCUGCGGCAAGGGUGCAGCGAGGAGGUGUGUGGCGUUGGGGAGGAAAAGGGAAGAGGAGAAGAAGAGAAGGAGAAGAAGAGGGAAAAGAGAGGGAAGAGGGAGAGGAGCGAGAGGUGGCAGCAGCUAGGGCUGCAGCACCUCUCUUUCCUGCAGGUGGAAACAGAGGAGAGGUGUGGGGUGUUCGAAGAGGAGAAGAAGAAGAAGAGGAAGAGAAGAAGAAGAGGAAGNNN